UCGGGAAUCUUCGGCAAUGGACGAAAGUCUGACCGAGCAACGCCGCGUGAGUGAAGAAGGUUUUCGGAUCGUAAAACUCUGUUGUUAGAGAAGAACAAGGACGUUAGUAACUGAACGUCCCCUGACGGUAUCUAACCAGAAAGCCACGGCUAACUACGUGCCAGCAGCCGCGGUAAUACGUAGGUGGCAAGCGUUUUCCGGAUUUAUUGGGCGUAAAGCGAGCGCAGGCGGUUUCUUAAGUCUGAUGUGAAAGCCCCCGGCUCAACCGGGGAGGGUCAUUGGAAACUGGGAGACUUGAGUGCAGAAGAGGAGAGUGGAAUUCCAUGUGUAGCGGUGAAAUGCGUAGAUAUAUGGAGGAACACCAGUGGCGAAGGCGGCUCUCUGGUCUGUAACUGACGCUGAGGCUCGAAAGCGUGGGGAGCAAACAGG
Molecule: ribosomal RNA, 429 nt
Filed under: Gemmatimonadota bacterium
Lineage: Bacteria; Pseudomonadati; Gemmatimonadota
Description: Gemmatimonadetes bacterium partial 16S ribosomal RNA
Rfam family: Bacterial small subunit ribosomal RNA
Source: RNAcentral